This 230-nucleotide long non-coding RNA is filed under the name Elaeis guineensis (African oil palm). RNAcentral describes it as "long non-coding RNA (EGUI_LNC027726)". The record is from RNAcentral. Lineage: Eukaryota; Viridiplantae; Streptophyta; Magnoliopsida; Arecales; Arecaceae.
UACGACCUUUGAUCGACCUGACCUUUGAUCAACCUAAUGUAAAAAGAGCCUUUGAUCAAUUUUUAGACAACACGGCCUUUGAUCGGUUUGAUCUUUGAUCGGCCUAAUACAGAAGGAGUCUUUGAUCGACUUUUAGACAAUACGGCCUUUAAUCGGCUCAAUCUUUGAUCGGUCUAAUGUAGGAGCCUUUGAUAGGCUUUUAGACAACAUGAUCUUUGAUCGGUCUGGCC